This 445-nucleotide ribosomal RNA is filed under the name uncultured bacterium. RNAcentral's name for it is "partial 16S ribosomal RNA". It matches the Rfam family "Bacterial small subunit ribosomal RNA", at positions 354 to 796 of the family's 1533-position model. The record is from RNAcentral.
GUGAGGAAUAUUGGUCAAUGGGCGGGAGCCUGAACCAGCCAAGUUGCGUGAAGGAAGAAGGAUCUAUGGUUCGUAAACUUCUUUUGCAGGGGAAUAAAGUGCAGGACGUGUCCUGUUUUGUAUGUACCCUGAGAAUAAGGAUCGGCUAACUCCGUGCCAGCAGCCGCGGUAAUACGGAGGAUCCGAGCGUUAUCCGGAUUUAUUGGGUUUAAAGGGUGCGUAGGUGGUUUGAUAAGUCAGCGGUGAAAGUUUGCAGCUUAACUGUAAAAAUGCCGUUGAAACUGUCGGACUUGAGUGUAAAUGAGGUAGGCGGAAUGCGUGGUGUAGCGGUGAAAUGCAUAGAUAUCACGCAGAACUCCGAUUGCGAAGGCAGCUUACUAAGCUACAACUGACACUGAAGCACGAAAGCGUGGGGAUCAAACAGGAUUAGAAACCCGAGUAGUCC